UACGGGGGGAGCAAGCGUUGUUCGGAUUUACUGGGCGUAAAGUGUGCGCAGGUGGCUUCGCAAGUCGAGUGUGAAAUCCCCGGGCUUAACCUGGGAAUUGCGCUCGAAACUACGGAGCUGGAGUAUGGCAGAGGGAGGUGGAAUUCCACGUGUAGCGGUGAAAUGCGUAGAGAUGUGGAGGAACACCAAUGGCGAAGGCAGCCUCCUGGGCCAAUACUGACACUCAUGCACGAAAGCGUGGGGAGCAAACAGG
This 253-nucleotide ribosomal RNA is filed under the name uncultured bacterium. RNAcentral describes it as "partial 16S ribosomal RNA". It matches the Rfam family "Bacterial small subunit ribosomal RNA", at positions 524 to 776 of the family's 1533-position model. The record is from RNAcentral.